This 253-nucleotide ribosomal RNA is filed under the name uncultured bacterium. RNAcentral's name for it is "partial 16S ribosomal RNA". It matches the Rfam family "Bacterial small subunit ribosomal RNA", at positions 524 to 776 of the family's 1533-position model. The record is from RNAcentral.
UACGGGGGGGGCAAGCGUUGUUCGGAAUUACUGGGCGUAAAGGGCGCGUAGGCGGCCUGCUAAGUCGGAUGUGAAAUCCCUCGGCUCAACCGAGGAACUGCAUCCGAUACUGGCGGGCUUGAAUCCGGGAGAGGGAUGUGGAAUUCCAGGUGUAGCGGUGAAAUGCGUAGAUAUCUGGAGGAACACCGGUGGCGAAGGCGGCAUCCUGGACCAACAUUGACGCUGAGGAGCGAAAGCCAGGGGAGCAAACGGG